Molecule: ribosomal RNA, 517 nt
Filed under: uncultured microorganism
Description: bacterial SSU rRNA
Rfam family: Bacterial small subunit ribosomal RNA
Source: RNAcentral
GAGUUUGAUCGUGGCUCAGGAUGAACGCUGGCGGCGUGCCUAAUACAUGCAAGUCGAGCGAACGGACGAGAAGCUUGCUUCUCUGAUGUUAGCGGCGGACGGGUGAGUAACACGUGGAUAACCUACCUAUAAGACUGGGAUAACUUCGGGAAACCGGAGCUAAUACCGGAUAAUAUUUUGAACCGCAUGGUUCAAAAGUGAAAGACGGUCUUGCUGUCACUUAUAGAUGGAUCCGCGCUGCAUUAGCUAGUUGGUAAGGUAACGGCUUACCAAGGCAACGAUGCAUAGCCGACCUGAGAGGGUGAUCGGCCACACUGGAACUGAGACACGGUCCAGACUCCUACGGGAGGCAGCAGUAGGGAAUCUUCCGCAAUGGGGGAAAGCCUGACGGAGCAACGCCGCGUGAGUGAUGAAGGUCUUCGGAUCGUAAAACUCUGUUAUUAGGGAAGAACAUAUGUGUAAGUAACUGUGCACAUCUUGACGGUACCUAAGUCAGAAAGCCACGGCUAACUACGUG